UGGGAUUCCUUUUCUGUAAUCCGAGAGUCGGAAAUAUCGAAUAGGAUAGCAAGGAUAGCAUAAAGUGACAUUUAAAAUCCAAAAAGUCAAGGGCGAAAGCCACUGUGACACCAUUGUUCUGCUCUAUCAGUAAUCUGUAUUAUGUAAAAAUGGUCUGUAAAUACAGCAUGUUUCCUAGCGGAGUUAUACAUAUCAAUGUAGUUAUAAAUUACAGUUUGUGAAAGUACACACUUAAUUUUUUUUAAUAAAAUUAUUCAAGACAUAUGAGUGGACAGACAAUGGAGGUCGACAGACCUGGUGAUAAUUGCUUCUAUAGAAAGUUAGCACAUGGCAGUGUCAAUCUCUUGCUUUUCUUCUGAGUAGUAUUUUAUUUAGUUGUAAUUCAAACAAUAAUUUGCUUCUUGAAAUUAAGUAAUGAAUUUCUUGUUUUACUUUAUAAAUCUCAGAUCCUGCCUUUACCUGCUCCCUCCUAUACUGAUGUGGUGUAUGUGGUAUUGCUGAGCUUGUAUGUGGUGGAAGCAGAAUAUGUGAGGAUUACUACUGCUGCACAUGUUCCAAGGCUUUUUACACAACUUGACCAAUACACUGACCAGCUCAUAAAAGUCUUCAAGAAAAAAGGAGGCGUUGCAGGGAAGAAAAUUAGACAAACUUUGGCCCCAGCCACACAGAAGGAAACCAUUGAAAAGGGGAGGGAGUGUGUCCUCAGGGCACUACCUUUUUACCUGAAUGAAGACCCAAGCAUCCUCUUCAAAGAAUAAUUGCUACAGCUGUUCAGAGGGAGCUGGAACAAAUUACCCUUGCUAUCUUUACCAUCGAAAGAGCUGAUGCCAGCACUCCUCCAGCCG
Astatotilapia calliptera (eastern happy) is the source of this 845-nucleotide long non-coding RNA. NCBI's taxonomy places the organism in Eukaryota, Metazoa, Chordata, Actinopteri, Cichliformes, Cichlidae. The record is from Ensembl.